Molecule: ribosomal RNA, 301 nt
Filed under: uncultured bacterium
Lineage: Bacteria
Description: partial 16S ribosomal RNA
Rfam family: Bacterial small subunit ribosomal RNA
Source: RNAcentral
CAGUAGCCGCGGGAAUACAGAGGGUGCAAGCGUUAAUCGGAAUUACUGGGCGUAAAGCGCGCGUAUGUGGUUUGUUAAGUUGGAUGUGAAAGCCCCGGGCUCAACCUGGGAACUGCAUCCAAAACUGGCAAGCUAGAGUACGGUAGAGGGUGGUGGAAUUUCCUGUGUAGCGGUGAAAUGCGUAGAUAUAGGAAGGAACACCAGUGGCGAAGGCGACCACCUGGACUGAUACUGACACUGAGGUGCGAAAGCGUGGGGAGCAAACAGGAUUAGAUACCCCUGUAGUCCCUGUCUCUUAUAC